AGAAGAAAGAAGGGAUAGAGGGAAGGUAAACACUUUGCAGAUGGGAGAAAACAAGGUGCCAAGUGCAGAAGUCAGGAACAAUAAAGACAGCCGGGUACUAAUGAUCUGUUUACUGCUGUUUAUGCUCUGUGUGUGUCAGGGGCACGCACAUUUAGAGAGCUCAUUAUGGUUGCAAUUAGAAUGCACCAUCGCUAGAUAUUUAACUCCUUUUUCUUUUAAAUUAGCAUUUUAAUAACAUUCUUUGAGCAGAGAAACAAAAUGACCAUUUUUCACGGACAAACUUCUAGCUGUAGGUGCAACUUUAAUGGCAAAGUUGUGAAGGGGAAAGAAGGGGAAAAAAGGCCAU
This 346-nucleotide long non-coding RNA is filed under the name Homo sapiens (human). RNAcentral describes it as "non-protein coding lnc-SNX11-9:1". Lineage: Eukaryota; Metazoa; Chordata; Mammalia; Primates; Hominidae. The record is from RNAcentral.